Molecule: ribosomal RNA, 1499 nt
Filed under: Acinetobacter baumannii
Lineage: Bacteria; Pseudomonadati; Pseudomonadota; Gammaproteobacteria; Moraxellales; Moraxellaceae
Description: bacterial SSU rRNA
Rfam family: Bacterial small subunit ribosomal RNA
Source: RNAcentral
GGUCAGAUUGAAAGAUGCGGGCAGGGUUUAACACCUGCAAGUUGAGCGGGGGGAAGGUAGCUUGCUACCGGACCUAGCGGCGGACGGGUGAGUAAUGCUUAGGAAUCUGCCCUAUUAGUGGGGGACAACAUCUCGAAAGGGAUGCUAAUACCGCAUACGUCCUACGGGAGAAAGCAGGGGAUAUUCCGGACCUUGCGGUAAUAGAUGAGCCUAAGUCGGAUUAGCUAGUUGGUGGGGUAAAGGCCUAUCAAGGCGACGAUCUGUAGCGGGUCUGAGAGGAUGAUCCGCCACACUGGGAAUGAGACACGGGCCAGACUCCUACGGGAGGCAGCAGUGGGGAAUAUUGGACAAUGGGGGGAACCCUGAUCCAGCCAUGCCGCGUGUGUGAAGAAGGCCUUAUGGUUGUAAAACACUUUAAGCGAGGAGGAGGAUACUCUAGUUAAAACCUAGGGAUAGUGGACGGUACUCGCAGAAUAAGCACCGGCUAACUUUGUGCCAGCAGCCGCGGUAAUACAGAGGGUGCGAGCGUUAAUUGGAUUUACUGGGCGUAAAGCGUGCGUCGGCGGCUUAUUAAGUCGGAUGUGAAAUCCCCGAGCUUAACUUGGGAAUUGCAUUCGAUACUGGUGAGCUAGAGUAUGGGAGAGGAUGGUAGAAUUUCAGGUGUAGCCGUGAAAUGCGUAGAGAUCUGGAGGAAUCCCGAUGGCGAAGGCCAGCCAUCUGGCCUAAUACUGACGCUGAGGUCCGAAAGGAUGGGGAGCAAAACCGGGUUAGAUUACCCUGGUUAUUCCAUCCCGUUAAACGGAGUUUAAUAGCCGUUGGGGCCUUUGAGGCUUUAGUGGCGCAUCUCACGCUGAUAAGUAGACCGCCUGGGGAGUACGGUCGCAAGACUAAAACUCAAAUGAAUUGACGGGGGCCCGCACAAGCGGUGGAGCAUGUGGUUUAAUUCAAUGCAACGCGAAGAACCUUACCUGGCCUUGACAUACUAGAAACUUUCCAAAGAUGGAUUGGUGCCUUCGGGAAUCUAGAUACAGGUGCUGCAUGGCUGUCGUCAGCUCGUGUCGUGAGAUGUUGGGUUAAGUCCCGCAACGAGCGCAACCCUUUUCCUUACUUGCCAGCAUUUCGGAUGGGAACUUUAAGGAUACUGCCAGUGACAAACUGGAUGAAGGCGGGGACGACGUCUAGUCAUCAUGGCCCUUACGGCCAGGGCUACACACGUGCUACAAUGGUCGGUACAAAGGGUUGCUACACAGCGAUGUGAUGCUAAUCUCAAAAAGCCGAUCGUAGUCCGGAUUGGAGUCUGCAACUCGACUCCUUGAAGUCGGAAUCACUAGUAAUCGCGAAUCACAAUGCCGCGGUGAAUACGUUCCCGGGCCUUGUACACACCGCCCGUCACACCAUGGGAGUUUGUUGCACCAGAAGUACCUAGCCUAACUGCAAAGAGGGCGGUUACCACGGUGUGGCCUAUGACUGAGGUGAAGUCAUAACAAGGUAACCGUAAC